RNAcentral lists this ribosomal RNA (360 nucleotides) under Triticum aestivum (bread wheat). RNAcentral describes it as "partial small subunit ribosomal RNA". The record is from RNAcentral. Lineage: Eukaryota; Viridiplantae; Streptophyta; Magnoliopsida; Poales; Poaceae.
AUGAAGCUCGACGAGUCUUUCGUGGAAGGAAUCGAGGGUAUGCAGAUCGACGAGUCUUCCGCGCAUGAAAACGAGGAUAUGGAGAGCGAGGAUGAAGAAGACGCCAAUGAAGAUGCCAUCUUGCCCGCCUCCCUGUGUCCACCUGCUCAUGGACAAGACGGCGAUUCAUGCGGCAGCUUCGUCCUCCUUGACGGCCUACUUCGCCGACCGCUCCAACGCCACCACCGCAUCCUGCAAGAUGAGGGAUGGCAAGGGGUUCAUCCAUGUCACCUUCUGCACCGCCGCCCCACCGCUCGUAUCCUAUUUCUGCGUCCACUUCACCGGGGGUUUGAAGCUCUCCCAUUUCGCGUCGGAGCCUGA